Rhagoletis zephyria (snowberry fruit fly) is the source of this 643-nucleotide long non-coding RNA. RefSeq lists it as uncharacterized. The record is from RefSeq and is a predicted model, not a curated record. Lineage: Eukaryota; Metazoa; Arthropoda; Insecta; Diptera; Tephritidae.
UCUGGCCACAUUCUCAACCAUAUUUCCGGCGUAAGUCUUAGAAUUUAAAUCCUUAAAACUUUGUUGAUCUAAUUAGACAGGUAUUAAUCAAAAGAUAACCAUGCGGUCAUCAGGGAUCUAUGACUGUGGUUCGUCCAAAAAUACACACAAGACCUUUUAAAAAGCACUUCUUUUAGAAGACUAUCUAGGAGUAUCUAAAGGACUACUUAAUCUUAGCCGGAAAGGCAUACGGAUUAUUAAUGGGCCUCCCAACACUGACACUGGAAAUUAGGAUACCAUAUCCUAGAAAGGUAUGACCGUCUGUCGAUACGUACUGCAGGUUUUCCAGAUUGGUGAAGGGUGCCCGAGACCUUAGAUAUGGCCAUUGAAGCCUUCAUAUUAGUUAUUUUAUUUAUCUAUGUUAUUAAUUAUAUACUCUAACAGCCAUUAGCAAACAAUUCGAUAACUAAGUAUUUAUAUUUUUAAAAACUUAAUGCUAUACUUAAAUGACUUUUAUACAAAUACGGAGGUACAUAUAAAUAUUGUAACUAAGUAAGUACACAUGUGUGUGCAAUUCGUCUAAAUAAUUCGCAAACAUAUUUCGCAAGAGUGAACAUUAAACUAACAAAUUUGUUCAUUAAACAAAAUGUCAACAACAAAAGAA